GGAGAGAUGUCCGAGUGGUUUAAGGAGCUGGUCUUGAAAACCAGUGAUCCCUCACGGGACCGUGGGUUCGAAUCCCACUCUCUCCGCCA
This 89-nucleotide transfer RNA is filed under the name Candidatus Merdivicinus intestinigallinarum. RNAcentral's name for it is "tRNA-Ser". It matches the Rfam family "tRNA". From Rfam's summary of the family: Transfer RNA (tRNA) molecules are approximately 80 nucleotides in length. Their secondary structure includes four short double-helical elements and three loops (D, anti-codon, and T loops). The record is from RNAcentral. Lineage: Bacteria; Bacillati; Bacillota; Clostridia; Eubacteriales; Oscillospiraceae.